Salvelinus fontinalis (brook trout) is the source of this 3074-nucleotide long non-coding RNA. RefSeq lists it as uncharacterized. The record is from RefSeq and is a predicted model, not a curated record. The transcript is spliced from 10 exons. NCBI's taxonomy places the organism in Eukaryota, Metazoa, Chordata, Actinopteri, Salmoniformes, Salmonidae.
AGAGAGAGGAAAAAGGCAUUGUUGGAAGUGGUUCUCAUUGGUGGAAGUGGUUCUCAUUGGUGGAAGUGGUUCUCAUUGGUGGAAGUGGUUCUCAUUGGUGGAAGUGGUUCUCAUUGGUGGAAGUGGUUCUCAUUGGUGGAAGUGGUUCUCAUUGGUGGAAGUGGUUCUCAUUGGUGGAAGUGGUUCUCAUUGUUGGAAGUGGUUCUCAUUGGUGGAAGUGGUUCUCAUUGGUGGAAGUGGUUCUCAUUGGUGGAAGUGGUUCUCAUUGUUGGAAGUGGUUCUCAUUGGUGGAAGUGGUUCUCAUUGGUGGAAGUGGUUCUCAUUGGUGGAAGUGGUUCUCAUUGGUGGAAGUGGUUCUCAUUGGUGGAAGUGGUUCUCAUUGGUGGAAGUGGUUCUCAUUGGUGGAAGUGGUUCUCAUUGGUGGAAGUGGUUCUCAUUGGUGGAAGUGGUUCUCUCUCUGCAUGCAAAUAGCAUCCUGCUUUCUUUUCACCUUCUCUUAUGUUACUUUCUCUCCUUCUUCCUCCCUCUCUUUCUCUCUCUGUGAGUCACCCCCUGCCCUACACCACUUCAUUAAUACACAUCUGUACCCCAGCUCUCUCCACCACUGUAUGCCAUACUCCCUGAGCUAGCAGUGAGGAGUCGGGAAGAGGGAGAGGAGAAAGGGGGUGGUGAUGGUGGGUGCACGACAGCCGCACGUGGUUGGCAGGAGGAGAAUGCACCGGUAAUUAGCCAGCACCAGUACAGACAAAAACCCAAGUAGAAGAAGAAACUAAAAAAAUCUGCGCUAUGAAAACCAGGCUCCUGCCAGGCUAUGUUCCCUAGAGGGCAGACCUGGACAUGAUGGUGUGGUGCAGUGUGCUGUGUUGUGCAGGCCGGGAACAAAGGAAGGAGAGGAGUGCUAGAGGAGUGUUAUCCGAUGAGGAGUGGGCCUGUCAUGCCAAAUUGUGUCCCCCUGCCAAAAAGUGUCCACCCUUGCGUCACAAUGGGAUUUGAUGAGUUUUAGCUUGUGUUGGUAGGGCUGUUGCUAGAAUUUACAAAAUUCUGACCAGAUUACGAAAUGAACUAAAGCAUCCGUUGCUAUGCUGGUUGCUUGGCUCUAUUUUAACUUGUAGCGGUUGCGAAGGAAGGAGGAUGUGGACAGUUCUAGUUCUAUUUCACCGAAUAAACACUCGCUCAGUCUGCCUCAGAAUUGCUCUCCAAGGACAGUGCUUUUGACAAUGCCAACCUUCUGACUACCUGGUGCUUCAGAGGACCGAAAAGACUGGAAAGAGAACACUCUUUCUUUACCAUAUAGUUGUUUUUAUAUAAGUAAAUGUUGUUAAAUAUGAAGAAAUCAUUUAAGCUGAUUUUAGAUUGACAUAGCUAGCUAACCUACUGUACUUAUUUACCUCAGCCUGCCUAGUCAGCUUGCCAGCUACAGUUUUAUUUAGCUAGCUAACUAGCUAGCUACUGUAACUGUUAUUGUAGCUUUCUGUUUGUAUGUAACUUGCACUUCAAUGGCAUCCCUCGAGGAGAUUUUUUUAAAUCUUUCCAUCCAGGUGAAGCACUAUGAAGGCACCACUUAUCUCGACAAGAGGCGCAACAUUCAGAGAAAUUCACAAUUCAGGGUCAGUACCCUGUCUAGCCUGCCAGAAGUUUGAGAGGGUGAAGACUGCCGCUGGAGUUGAGGCUCAUCAAAGUUGUUUCACCAUGGCACAUGAUCGGCGUGGACUUCAUCGGACCCUUCGUGAAAUCCAGGAAUGGCAACAGCUGGUGUCUGACGGCGACCAAUCACUUCACCAAGUGGGUGGAGGCAAUACCCAUUAAGGACGAGACUGGCGAGGCCACCUCCAAGGUGAUGGUGGACAUCUUCAACACCCACGGUUCUCCUGAGGUCAUCUUGAGUGACCGAGGUCAUGAACGCUGGAACAAGGUCUGGUGAAUGUACCAACCAGACCCUCAAGACUGCCAUGGGCAAGUCCCUUCAUUGGUACCAGGAAGGGUGGGAGAACAACCUGAAGGUCAUUUUCUUUGCACCCAACAGCAGCAUCCAGGUCUCCACAUAAUCACUGAAACCCCACCUGAUGUGGUGGAAGUCGUCAAACCAGAUCAGAAUUCCUUUGAGGACCACCUUCAGGCACGACUGAGAAGGAUGUGGAGGUUUUUGACCAGAUGAGACUGAACAUCGACAAGGCCCAGGAAAACUGAAGGAAAGCUACCGGAGCAGAAUCAAGAAGGGGACCAAGUGCUACGAGAUCCUGGCGAAUGACUUGGUUUGGAAGAAGGACAAAAGGAAGGGUUACCUCGGUGGAAGCCAACAAUCUUCUACAGUUGGAGCAGUUGGACGGUCGACACCCCUCACUUCAGUGAAGCCCAAUAGACAAAGACCAUCGGCUGACCGAGCCCAAGAGGUAUCGCUUGAGGAGGUAGGGAUUCUGCUCAACACUCAGACGUGGAUCCACAUGAUGUCCUUCACUACCAACCACCCUCCAACUUUUCAUUACAUCAUCUACAGCUACUGUUGUUGUCAUUAUCUGCUAAUGAAGUUUUUUUAUUAUACUGGGCACAUAAUAUGUGAGAUCCACAGAUUAACCAAAAACACUAGCACUGCAAACACUCAGAACAAAGAGAGCAGCAGUGCCUGGACUUCGCAGUCUCCCUCUUCAAGUCCCCCUUCCGAGACUGGCUGCUGAGAACAAGUGACAGGCAGAACCUCCCACCCACACAGCAACCAGCUUCUCUAUAUUCCACACAUCAGAAAUCAGUAAUUUAAUCUAUGAUUGCCAUGUGAGUGUACAAAAAAAUCGGUGAAAAUAAAUUAAUGACAAACUGUACCAAAAAUGAUCAAAGUUUAUAUAUUACAAUCUUAAAUAUUGCCAGGUUGGUUUGCACAGUGGUUUCACAAGGUGUUCAUUAUUGUAAGUGUAAGGUAUCCUUGGAUGGUAUUUAUUUGUUCCACAUUAUUCAUUGCUGUAUGCUAGGACCUACAAUAGAUACAUAUAUAUUCAACCACAAGGGUGUACUAAUGAGCUAUGCGAGAUAUACUUAAAAAAAAUCAUAGUAGAGGACUACUGAAAUUAUAUUAUAUCAGUGUA